RNAcentral lists this ribosomal RNA (492 nucleotides) under uncultured bacterium. RNAcentral describes it as "partial 16S ribosomal RNA". It matches the Rfam family "Bacterial small subunit ribosomal RNA", at positions 29 to 507 of the family's 1533-position model. The record is from RNAcentral.
AGUGAACGCUGGCGGUAGGCCUAACACAUGCAAGUCGAACCGCAGCACAGUAAGAGCUUGCUCUUACGGGUGGCGAGUGGCGGACGGGUGAGGAAUACAUUGGAAUCUACUUUUUCGUGGGGGAUAACGUAGGGAAACUUACGCUAAUACCGCAUACGACCUACGGGUGAAAGCAGGGGAUCUUCGGACCUUGCGCGAUUGAAUGAGCCGAUGUCGGAUUAGCUAGUUGGCGGGGUAAAGGCCCACCAAGGCGACGAUCCGUAGCUGGUCUGAGAGGAUGAUCAGCCACACUGGAACUGAGACACGGUCCAGACUCCUACGGGAGGCAGCAGUGGGGAAUAUUGGACAAUGGGCGCAAGCCUGAUCCAGCCAUACCGCGUGGGUGAAGAAGGCCUUCGGGUUGUAAAGCCCUUUUGUUGGGAAAGAAAAGCAGCAGGUUAAUACCCCGCUGUUCUGACGGUACCCAAAGAAUAAGCACCGGCUAACUUCGUG